Molecule: long non-coding RNA, 2172 nt
Organism: Sapajus apella (tufted capuchin)
Lineage: Eukaryota; Metazoa; Chordata; Mammalia; Primates; Cebidae
Exons: 2
Source: RefSeq, a predicted model, not a curated record
GCAGGCAAGUUCCUGAAUUGUUCUAAUGUUUAUAGAUUCAAUAUGUCUUUAACAGUUUGAGCAUUUGUAAAAUCUUUGAGGCUUUUUUUCCUGUGGCUUUUUCUGGUGCACACACAGGCUCCUUAAGUUUCUGAAACUGUUCCCUAAGGAGCUAUGUAAGGGGGAGGCAGAGCGGGGAAUGCAUCAGCAGAUGUUUCUAGAGCUAUUUCCUGCGAUGAGAGGAAGGAUUGGCAGGAGCAGUGUGUUUCAUUCAGCCACAAACUUUGCUGAUUCAAGGGUAGACCUAAGGGAAUUACUCUUUAUGGGCUUUUCUGGUAUUGUCAUUUUGUUUGAAAAGACUAAGUCAUGGGUUUUUUAAUUGUAAUUUUUAAAGGAGGCAUUUAUUUUCAACAGAUAUUGUGAAAUAUAAAAUCAGUACUGCAAACCCACUCACGAAAAGGGCAAUUUUGCCCUAAAACGUUGCAUUACUAAGGUGGGAAGUAGAAGAAACAAUUCUUACAAAUGGGCGUUUUUGUCAUUUCUUAUAUAAAAACAAAUCCAAAGCUUGGCAUUUGUUUUUAUUGACAUAGUAGAAGCUGGUCAGCAGCAGAAAAUAAUUUCUUCUUAAAAACAUAAUGACCUAAUCUCUUAUCUAAUACUGGUCUAGUCUCUAAUGAUGGAAAGCAGAUCCGUAGUUGCCUGGAGGUGGUAAAGAUUGAGUAGGAAGGCUUCCUAAAGAAUAUUUUGGAAUCAUAGGAAUAGUCUAUAGGGAGGUAAUGGCAACUAUACACUGAAAAUGGGUGCAUCUUGUUGUAUGUAAAGUAUAAUCUCAGUAAACUUGAUUUUUAAAUAUAAAUAUUGACCUCCUGGAGUUUAGGGAGAACUAAGAGAAAAGGAUGUGUUUCCCACCAAGCAUAAAUGGGGAAGAAGUGAGGAGAUGAGAUUGCCACGGAGGGAAGACCCCAUGGACCAUUCAGGGGUGGAGAAAAGGAAAACUGGUUUCCCUACCUUCUGCCCCAAGGACUUAAAACUGCUCUGCAAUGUCAUGUUUGGGGAUGGGAUGGGUAAGAGGAAUUCACUGCCAAAUACCUCAUGCUACCCCUUUUAUAUAGAGUAAGUUUCUGGUCAAGAGUGAUGUAAAUUGUGUCUGUGUGAGUGGGGUUGACCAGAAAGCCAGGCACUACCCAGCAUCUUAGUAGUCAGCUUGCAGGAGAGGUUUUACAGUGUCCUGUCUUUAGGUGUGUCUACAGCCAGGGACCUGAGGAGGUCUGGCAGGGGAGCGGUCUCUGAACUAUGCUGGACUCAAGUUCACAUCAAGGUGCUCCUAUUUCCAGAGGCUGUAGGAACAGGAGAAAGCUGAGCUACUCCUCCCCAGCAGUGCUAAAAAUUUCCAAAUGAGAAAAUCACCUAGAGAACUCCCUGGCACCUGCCAGCUGAUGGGCAUCUUUCUCUGCCGCAUCCACUGAGGAACUGUUACCCCCUUGACACACUCACAAAUUCACUUAAAAUUAUAACACAAAUAUAUUAAUACCAACAAUCAUGGUGGUAACAUUUCUUCGUGAUCUGUAGUUAGUGGGCACUGUGUUAAGUGCUUUUUACACAUGACCUCAUAUCACCUUUCCAACAGCCCUGGGAAGUAAGAGCUAUUAUUUCUACUAUUAGUCUCAUUUUCUUGAGGAGCCAAAUGGGGCUUAGAAGAGCAAAUUACUUGCCCAAAACAUCAGACAGGGAACAGGUGUCAGAGCAGUGUCAUUAAUGGAAGCGCCAAACUCUAUUGCUGAUCAUCUCUGUGCCCAAAGGCCAAAAGGUGAAAAGAUCUUAAUGCUUUCAACUAUGCUCACUUUAAAGAGGGGGCCAGGGACGGGCUUCCUAUCUGGAGAGUGAGGGCUGGCCUUCGAUGGUUACCCACCCCUUAGAGUGGCCAAAGCCAGAGCUGAACUCAGAUCUUGGAGGAGGGUGUAAGUGGAUCUCCCCAGGGUAUAAUUUUCUAUUAUUUGGAUGGAGGGGAAAAGGAAACUCAUCCUAAGGCAUUUUAAGGAUAUGGGAAUGAGGCUCAGUGAUGUGACUCAAGAACUAGUCAAAGAGGUCACUGAAAUCCAGGUGUCCUGUGGUUUUUCCCUUCACUUAAGAUUGUCUGAUAACGCUGUUUAAUUCACCACAUUAGCUCCACAAAUAAAGGGGAAAGCUGCUUUU